This 73-nucleotide transfer RNA is filed under the name Candidatus Tayloriibacteriota bacterium. RNAcentral describes it as "tRNA-Asn". It matches the Rfam family "tRNA". Rfam says of the family: Transfer RNA (tRNA) molecules are approximately 80 nucleotides in length. Their secondary structure includes four short double-helical elements and three loops (D, anti-codon, and T loops). Further hydrogen bonds mediate the characteristic L-shaped molecular structure. tRNAs have two regions of fundamental functional importance: the anti-codon, which is responsible for specific mRNA codon recognition, and the 3' end, to which the tRNAs corresponding amino acid is attached (by aminoacyl-tRNA synthetases). tRNAs cope with the degeneracy of the genetic code in two manners: having more than one tRNA (with a specific anti-codon) for a particular amino acid; and 'wobble' base-pairing, i.e. permitting non-standard base-pairing at the 3rd anti-codon position. The record is from RNAcentral. Lineage: Bacteria; Candidatus Tayloriibacteriota.
UCCGCGGUAGCUCAGUCGGUAGAGCGUCCCGCUGUUAACGGGAGGGUCCUUGGUUCGAGUCCAAGCCGCGGAG